Molecule: RNA transcript, 2708 nt
Organism: Musca domestica (house fly)
Lineage: Eukaryota; Metazoa; Arthropoda; Insecta; Diptera; Muscidae
Gene name: zinc finger C4H2 domain-containing protein
Exons: 2
Source: RefSeq, a predicted model, not a curated record
AACUUGCUAUCGAAUUUGCAGCGCAAAGCAAGCAGAAGGAGACAAUCAGUAGAAGGCUGCGAAUAAAUUCAUUGUUAACUUGGGGUUGUUACUGCCUAAUUGUGCAAUUUUGUUCAAAUAAUAAGAAAAUAAUAUCAAAUAUUUACAAAAUUAAUUAUUUGUUUCACAAAAUUCGAAAAUAUAAAUAAAUAAUUUUAAAAUUAAAAAAGAAAACCACCUCUGAGGAAGAUAUUCAUCAAAUACCUAGCUGCCUUCUAGCUUGUGUGUAUGUGUAACAAAACGAAGUAAUCAAGCAAAAUCGUGCGAUAUACAUACAGAAAAGAUGGCCACCACAGCCUCAUCCACUGAUUUACCACCCAGCACCAAUGAACGCCAUUAUUAUGCAAAGUUGGAAGCUAUUAAAGAUAUACGCGAUAAAACGAUAUCAUUAGAGAAGCUAAAGGUACGCAUUAUUCGAGAGGUGAAGUUGAGUGACGAUGAAGAAAAGUGCCUGGAUGAAUAUCGCAAAGAAUUGGAACAUUUGUUGGAAGAAAAGAUGUCGCAUGUCGAGGAGUUGCGACAGAUACAUGCCGAUAUUAAUGACAUGGAAAAUAUCAUAAAACAGACCAAGGAUAAUCAGACACGUUCGGUGGACAUGGCUAAUCGUCAUUAUGAAGAUUAUUUAGCAUUGAAGUAUCAAAUAGACCACAUGCGGCGUGAAUAUUUGGGUCUGAGUCCAUUGAGAGAUUUGCACGAGGAAGAAGGUAGUCCAAUAUCAAAGGACCGGUUUCAGAGUAAUUUCCUAAAAGUUGCGGCCCAAAAUGCAUCACAGUCUUCAGCGCUGGCUAGGCCACACCCUAGACAUCCAUUGAUGCCAGAGUCUGCAGUAGCAGCACUGCCACCCUCGACGCCAAGUGGGCCAACAUCAGGGCCACCACCACCCACAGGCGGUCAUGCGUUUAUGCCACCAGCUCCACCGGGAAGUGCUCAAAGUCCUGCUUCUGCCGUACGCCUUGGUAAAAGUGAUUUUUCAGCUCCUCCACCUCCUCCCCCGCCCUCGAGUCGUCUACAACAAACGCCAUCUAUUGGUUUGGGUCAUCAUCCCACAUUUCGUUCGGAUUUCAAUGUAAAUCUACGACAACAACCACCCCCAAUGAAGUCCUGCCUGUCGUGUCAUCAACAAAUUCAUCGUAAUGCUCCCAUAUGCCCGCUGUGUAAAGCCAAAUCACGUUCUCGCAAUCCCAAGAAGCCCAAAAAGAAAACCAAUUAAUAUGCCGUAUUUUAAGGAUAACAUGAAUGAAGCAAAUGUAAGUGGACUGAGUCUCUGUGUAUAUGCAAAUGUUUUCCUUUUACAAGCAAGGGUUAAAGCAUUGUUAGGCGUUUUUCGCAAUAAAAAUUCUCCAUAUUUUGUUGACAGCCGGAAUUGACUUGAUGGACUCUAUGUCAGUCUUUAAAGUUGAAAUAACAUUUGUUUUUGGGGUAAGAUCCCCAAAACCACCUACGGAUUCACACUCCGAUAGAGUGCCACUAACUGUCGAUGCUGAUGCCACUGAUCGAACGGACUCUAAAUGAAAAUUAAAUAUAUUAUUUAAAAACAGAAAUAUAUUAUUUAAAAAAAGAAAAAAAUAUUAACAGCCUGUUUCUUUAUUUUGAAACGAAAUUUUUUUUGUUCCGACAUAAAGAAACAGACUGUAAAUCCAGUGUACUUACCUCCAAAUUGCAACUCAAUAUGAAAAGUAGGCGUUGACAUAUAUUGAUGAAUUACUUUUUCAAACUGGUCUUCUUUAAUGGUUGCACCAAACACUAAGGCUGUUAUUUUUCUUGAGGCAUCAAUUUUUAACUCUAAUUUGGCUGCUUUUAUAAAGCUUUGUAGAUUUAAAGGCUCCGGCGCUUCGACAAAUAAUUUGUCUUCCCCCAAAACAGUUGGUAUCAACAUUUAUUACAACACUUGCGACACGACGCGAAGGCACAAAACAAAUAAAAAGAAUAAAAAAAGAACACAACCAGAAUGCCAACAUGAGACACGCGCAAAUGUUACGCUCUUUUGUUCUCAUCAAGCAAAUCGGUGUGUAUGCAUGAACAUUAGUAAGAAGCAACGUCUCAGCAACAAAAAAAAAACAUACAAACAGCUCUUUGUGUGUUGUUGUUGGCAUUUUUUGGUGCAUGGACAAUAGAAAAGAAAUAAACGUCUCAGCAACAGUUUCCAUCCCUCUUGCCGCGCACAAGUUGAGUGUCUCAACUUGAGACACGCGAGUUAACUUCCGUACCGCCGACAAAUAAGAAAACAAGAAUUAUUCUGUUUUAGAUGCCAAAUACAACUAAUGCUUUAUUCAAAAAAUUCUUAUAUUUAAGCGAUUUUACAAUUAUUGAUUUUUCUUAGAGUUAACAAAGAACAAAGGAACAUAAAAUCUAGAGCUAUCAAGAAAAAUACUUAAGCUAAAAAUUUGUAUUGGGUACAGUAAAAGUAAACAUUUCUUUUUGGGUUAUUUCCGUCAUAGUUUUAUUACUAGUGUUGUUAUUGUGAUGUUGAAGUGGAGAAUUAUUGCUGACGAAAUAAUGUCAACAAUAUUGGUGUUAGCUCUUUGGUGCUUAUGACAAUGUUGUAACUAAUAAUGAUGUUAAUAAUAAUGAUAUUAAUAAUAAUGAUGUUAAUAAUAAUGAUGUUAAUAAUAAUGGUGUUAACAAUAAUGAUGUUUUUAAUAAAUGAGGUUGUGGUUGAAAAUAAUGAA